RNAcentral lists this ribosomal RNA (837 nucleotides) under Vibrio sp. Its description in RNAcentral is "bacterial SSU rRNA". It matches the Rfam family "Bacterial small subunit ribosomal RNA", at positions 64 to 841 of the family's 1533-position model. The record is from RNAcentral. Lineage: Bacteria; Pseudomonadati; Pseudomonadota; Gammaproteobacteria; Vibrionales; Vibrionaceae.
GAACGAGUUAUCUGACCUUCGGGGAACGAUAACGGCGUCGAGCGGCGGACGGGUGAGUAAUGCCUGGGAAAUUGCCCUGAUGUGGGGGAUAACCAUUGGAAACGAUGGCUAAUACCGCAUAAUAGCUUCGGCUCAAAGAGGGGGACCUUCGGGCCUCUCGCGUCAGGAUAUGCCCAGGUGGGAUUAGCUAGUUGGUGAGGUAAGGGCUCACCAAGGCGACGAUCCCUAGCUGGUCUGAGAGGAUGAUCAGCCACACUGGAACUGAGACACGGUCCAGACUCCUACGGGAGGCAGCAGUGGGGAAUAUUGCACAAUGGGCGCAAGCCUGAUGCAGCCAUGCCGCGUGUAUGAAGAAGGCCUUCGGGUUGUAAAGUACUUUCAGCAGUGAGGAAGGUGCAUGCGUUAAUAGCGUAUUCAUUUGACGUUAGCUGCAGAAGAAGCACCGGCUAACUCCGUGCCAGCAGCCGCGGUAAUACGGAGGGUGCGAGCGUUAAUCGGAAUUACUGGGCGUAAAGCGCAUGCAGGUGGUUUGUUAUGUCAGAUGUGAAAGCCCGGGGCUCAACCUCGGGAAUAGCAUUUGAAACUGGCAGACUAGAGUACUGUAGAGGGGGGGUAGAAUUUCAGGUGUAGCGGUGAAAUGCGUAGAAGAUCUGAAGGGAUUACCGGUGGGCGAAGGGCGGCCCCCCUUGGACAGAUUACUGGACACUCAAAUGUCGAGAGCGGUGGGGGGAGCAAAACAGGGAAUUAAAAUACCCCUUGGGAACUCCCCCGCCAUAAAAACGAUGUUCCUAACUCUGGAGAAAGUUUGGUGGCCCCUUUGCAGCCCGGGAUCUUUUU